CCUACGGGAGGCAGCAGUGGGGAAUAUUGCACAAUGGGGGGAACCCUGAUGCAGCAACGCCGCGUGGGUGAAGAAGUACUCCGGUAUGUAAAGCCCUGUCAGCAGGGAAGAAAAUGACGGUACCUGACCAAGAAGCCCCGGCUAACUACGUGCCAGCAGCCGCGGUAAGACGUAGGGGGCAAGCGUUAUCCGGGUUUACUGGGUGUAAAGGGAGCGUAGACGGCAAGGCAAGUCUGGAGUGAAAGCCCGUGGCCCAACCACGGGACUGCUUUGGAAACUGUGUUGCUUGAGUGCAGGAGGGGUAAGCGGAAUUCCUAGUGUAGCGGGGAAAUGCGUAGAUAUUAGGAGGAACACCGGUGGCGAAGGCGGCUUACUGGACUGUAACUGACGUUGAGGCUCGAAGGCGUUGGGAGCAAACAGGAUUAGAUACCCCUGUAGUC
This 440-nucleotide ribosomal RNA is filed under the name uncultured bacterium. Its description in RNAcentral is "partial 16S ribosomal RNA". It matches the Rfam family "Bacterial small subunit ribosomal RNA", at positions 338 to 795 of the family's 1533-position model. The record is from RNAcentral.